RNAcentral lists this ribosomal RNA (258 nucleotides) under uncultured bacterium. RNAcentral describes it as "partial 16S ribosomal RNA". It matches the Rfam family "Bacterial small subunit ribosomal RNA", at positions 524 to 776 of the family's 1533-position model. The record is from RNAcentral.
UACGUAGGGUGCAAGCGUUGUCCGGAAUUAUUGGGCGUAAAGAGCUCGUAGGCGGUUUGUUGCGUCGGCUGUGAAAUCCCGAGGCUCAACCUCGGGUCUGCAGUCGAUACGAGCAAACUAGAGUGUUGCAGGGGAGACUGGAAUUCCUGGUGUAGCGGUGAAAUGCGCAGAUAUCAGGAGGAACACCGGUGGCGAAGGCGGGGUCUCUGGGCAACAACUGACGCUGGAGGAAGCGAAAAGCGUGGGGGAGCGAACAGG